UUUUUUUUUUCCUGUAUAUUUCCUAAAAUUAAAAAGUAAAUCCAAACUAUAGAGUUCAAGUCCUCCUUUUUAUUCGAGAGGCAGGGGUGGGUGUAAUUAUUUUUUUAUUGCUGAUAGAUACAUUUUGUUCAUCAAAAAAUAAGUGAAGCAGCACAUUUCUACCUGAAAUAGCAUAUUUGUCAAUUGUGUGCUUAGUAUGUAUUUUUUUUCCCUCUCAUAUACUGUUGCAAUGGAUGAAUAACAUGCUGAUGAGUAAGGUUUUAGAUUGCUUUUAAUUUGAAAGAUUUGUAAGGCUUUUCCUACUAAUUUAACUAUCAAAAUUUCUGGGGGCUGGGAAGAAGUAUUGAAAGGGUUUUUAAAAUGCUUACAUAUUUGUAUAAAUGCCAGUUUAUUAAAAAUGACAACUAGAAAAAGUAGUGUAGUAUUGAGUUAAAUAUAGGUCAUAACUUUUCCAAUCCAAAUGCUUUAUCGUUUAAUAUAUUAAGCAUAUGGAUUUAACAUUAGGCACUACCUUAGACACGAUUGUAAAUGUUUUUAUAAAAUGUGAAGUGGUUUAAUUGGAAUAGACACGUCCAAAUGUAAAAUUACUUGUAUAAUUUCUCGCUCUGAUAUUGUCAGCCUUGUCUUUAGAGUCCAUUUAACCUUAAUGAGCUAAUUAAGAAAUUGACUAAGUUGACUUGAACAUACAGAAAUGUAAGCCUUUGGGACAUUAUUAUUUACCAGCUCUACAUUGUUUGUCAUGGGCCUUCACUAUUCACUAGACCUGCCUCAACAUCUGUCUUUUCCCUGUAAGUGCCAUUCGGGUUUCACCUAAAAUGUAGUUAGCUUCAUAAUGUUGUUCUUAAUAGAAAAGUAAUACGUAUGUAGAACACAUCUAGAGAACAUAGAAGGGAUGUAUAAAAAUGACAAAAUCAUUCUAUUAACCAGAGAAAAGUUCUAAUACUUUUGCAUAUACAUUAUUUAGUUAAAGAUUAUGGUUCCUGGAGUCAGUGUACCUAGGUUCACAUCUUGGCUCUGUUGUUUACCUCUUUUAGCAUCUUUAGGAUGCUAAAAGAGGUAAACAGGAGUGACCUAACCUGUUUUCACCUCGGCUUUCACAUUCGUAAAUAUAGAUAAUGAUAGUAUUUUUCUUCUAGAAUGAUCAGGACUAAAGGAGUGAUGCAUAAAGUACUUAAAGGAGUCCCUGGUACAGAAUAAGUAUAAUGCUGAUAAGAAGUAUACUAUUGUAUGGUUUCCUGUGAACCCACACACUUUUACAAAAACAAAACCACACAGUAUAUGAACAUUUUUUUUCACUUAAUGUGUUGGUAUUCUUUAAAUUCCUCAUCUCUCUCUCUCUCUCUCUCUCUCUCUCAUUAUAUAGGUAGGUAUUUUUGUGUGUAAUCUUUUAAAAGAAAUCUGCACAGUGAUUUAAAAUGAACAUUUGGGGCAGCCCCGGUGGCGCAGCGGUUUAGCACCGCCUGCAGCCCAGGGCGUGAUCCUGGAGACCCUGGAUCGAGUCCCACAUCAGGCUCUCUGCAUGGAGCCUGCUUCUCCCUCUGCCUGUGUCUCUGCCUCUCUCUCUCUCUCUCUCUGUGUCUCCAUGAAUAAAUAAAUAACAUAUUUAUAAAUAAAUAAAUAAAUAAAUAAAUAAAUAAAUAAAUAAAUAAAAUGAACAUUUGUAUACAUGUAUGUCUGAUCAUCUGUUUAAUUCCUAGAAGUAAAGAUACUUAGUUGAAAGACUGUAUUUCUGAAGGAUGUCCUCCUCCCAACUUCUCCCAAGUGCAGAAAUUUGACCAUUUCCCUUUACCUUACUGCCACAAAAUAUUGCCAUUAACUCUUCUUUUCAAUUUUAUUAUUUUUAUUUUAUAAGGAUUUAUUUAUUUAUUUAUUUUAGAGAGAGAGAUGGGGGAGGGGGACAAUGGGAGAGGCUGAGGAGAGAAAACAUCUCAAACAGACUCCCCACUGAGUGCAGAACCCAACACAGGGCUUGAUCUCAGGACCCAGAGAUCAUGACAUGAGACAAAAUCAAGAGUCAGAUGCUUAACCAACUGAGUCAUCCAGGAACCCCCAGUUUACAUUUCUUUAACUCUGCAAUUAGGCAUCAUUUUAUAUGUUUAUUUUUUGUCUUUUGUUCAUCCUAUUUAGAUGUUUAUCUUUUUGCUACUGACUUUCAUGAGAUCAUUUUAUAGAAAACAAUUUCCUAAAAAUUAUCAAAUAGAUAACUAUUUUCCAAACACUAGGGUAUAUCCAUGAGACUCUUCAUGGUUUGAAUAAAACUUGGAAAGCCGAAAAGUUCUAAUAAGUUUAAUGGCUCCAGUAGAGAUUUCAAUGCAUUUUGAUGCAACAAAGACCAGAUAUUUGGUUCAACUUAAGUGAUUCUCAUUCCUGUGGGAAUCCUUCUCUUAGGGACACACUUGCUUUGUUUUGGGGUCUCUAGUUUUUAUUUCAUUGUGUGAAACUGAGUAAACGAAAUGUCCUUUAAAAUGCAGUCAGAAGGCCAGAGGAGAAGUGCUCAUGCACUACCACUCAUAACCUGCAGACCCCAACCAGAAGAGAAGUACCUUUCAUUGCCACCUGGGAGGAGUUGACAUUUUAGUACCCCAGUGGAAGAAAGGAAGGAAGAUCCCCUGGAACAGCAACUGCCCAUCCAAUGAGAGACUGUCAUAGAUCAGCCAAUGAAAAGCCACUACUCUUCCAACUCCCAGUUUAUUCCAGGAGACUUUUUUUAUCAUAGCCCCUUGUAGCUCCCCCCUUUACUCUAUAAAUGUGUGUUCCUCUCCUUUGUGCUCCAAACUUGCCUAUGGCUUUUGCUAUAGUCGGCUUGUCCCAAAUUGCAAUUCUUCUGAUACUUCCAAAUAAAGCCAUUUUGCUAGUAAAAUAACUGGCUGCUGUACUUUCUAGGUCAAAACAGUUUUAUACCUAAAUUUGCCUAGUGGCAGCUCCUUUUAGCUCACAUUCUGUUCUUCUUUUUCCAGUCUGCUUGACUAUUAAUCCUUUCUUUGCUCUAAAUUAUGCUUUGCUUCAUUGUGUGGAUCAUAGAGAUGAGCCCUGUCUUCUCCUCUAGCCAGGCCCCCACUUUCUUGACUUAGUUGGUAAUUGGUAUGGGAAGGUAAUUAGAGAGCUAUAACAACUAUUAUUAUCCUGGUCAGGAAAAGAAUUUAAAGGCUGGCUGAAUCACUGGUCUGAUCAAUACCACACUGAGAUAUUUCUUAUGGUCAUAUGCAAGAUCUCUUACUCUCUUACUUUCCAUUGGAACAUGGUCUGUACAUCUGAUACCUAACUAAGAAGAGCAUAUACAUUUGUAUAUGUAUAUGAAAAUGUACAUGUAUAUGAAAAUGAACAUUGUCCACACAGUAAUGAUGACAUUUUUAAAAAAGAUUUAUUUAUUUAUUUAUUUAUUUAUUUAUUUAUUUAUUUAUUUAUUUAAGAGAGAAAGGUGAAUGGGGAGGUAUGAGAGAAAGGGAGAGCUUGAAUCCUGAAGCAGACUUGUUGUUCAGCAUAGAGCCUAUGCAGGGCUAGAUCCCAGGACCCUGAGAUCAGGAUCUGAGCUGAAAUCAAGAGUCAGAAGCUCAACCUGCUGAGCCCCAUAGGAACACACAUAUGCACAUGCACACAAACCUCAAGUCAGAGUUUACUCCCACAUCCUAACACACCCCAAGCAAAUUACUAAACAAGCAGUUACAUUGCUAAAAUAAAAUGCAGGGUAAAAACAUGAUAAUUUUAAUGAAGCUAAUAUUCUGAGGGGAGGGGGUAACACUUUUGUUUUCAUAAUAAUUUCUAUUUCACCAGACUUCAAGAAGUAUUGCCUUUAUAUUUCUAUUUACUUAUAAACUUUUAUUUUAUCCAAAUUGCCAAGUAACUGAGUUAGAUAACAGUGGGAUACAGGAAAAAAUGAUUGAAUUUUACAUCUAUAAUUUAAGUAAAAUUUCUAUGAUAAUAAAUAAGACAAUGUUAAUAAGCUAAAAUUUUUAAGAUUUUCCUCUGGCAUUGCUUAAUAAAAGCACAUUUAGGAAGCUAUUCUUCAAAAGCAAAUAGGCCAUUUUACUUGACAUACAACAGAUCAUCAGUUUCUUCUUGACAAUUUUAUGGAGCCAGCACAUACAGCCAUAAUUUACUAGACUUUAAAAUAAAAUUUUUUAAUGUUCUUGUAUGAAUUUAAGAAUGUUAAGCAAGAGGAAUAAGAAAAAUGAUGUUAAUCUACAGUCUUGCUGAUAUUUCUGUAAUGUAUAUUAUAGUUGGGGGGAACUUAAAAAAAAACACCCUCAAAUUCAAUAAGUUUCUAUCAACUAUAUUUACAAGUAAAAAGAGUAAUUAUUCUCAGCUUUCAAUUUAUUUUUAUCUUUUAAUUUAAAUUUGAGCAGGUCAGCCCCUCUGGAAAACCUGCCACUUAAACUAAAAAAACAAGGCACUUGUGGUUGUUUUCUGAGUUAAAAUAUGCAAACUACAACAUUCAAAUAAGACAUUUAUUCAAAACUGAAAGAAUCAACUCAUUUAUUAUGAGGUGGAGGCCUCCUUUGCCAAGCAUCAGUUUUGAUUAUGCUGUAAAUUCUACUAUUUCUCUGGGAUUCUCAUGGACUCAAUUGCAUAAAAUAAUGAUCUUCUUGUCAUAUGAAUUUAAGCUUGAGAUCACAAUACACACCAGUAGCAACAUACUUUGCCUUAUCAAUGCUAGAAAUAAUUUGAUAAUGAAGGUCCCUGAGAGCUGAAUAAUAUUGAGUGUUAUCAUUGGCAAUCAAUGCUGGAUCCCAACAUGUGAAUUUUCAUCUCCCUCUGGUGGCAAAGAGAAAUAGGGAGCCAACAGGUACUAUAAUUCACAUCAUUGUACAAAAAGCCAAUGAUACCAGUUCAAGAAUAAAUUCACACUCCCAUAGACUUUACUGACUUAAAGAUUUCUUCUUUUUAUAAAUUAUCAUGAUGCAACAACACUCAAAAUAUGGCCAGAAUAUUUAAAUCUCGCCAGUAUUCUAACUUCUUCAUAGCAAAGAGUAUAAUGCUUUACAAUUUUGUAUAUAAUAUCUCCUUUCCUCCCUCCUCCCUUUUCUUUUCUCCCUCUUUUCUUCCUUCUUUUCAUAAAUGUAAGUCAAAAUAAGCACAUUAAA
RNAcentral lists this long non-coding RNA (5081 nucleotides) under Canis lupus familiaris (dog). Its description in RNAcentral is "lncRNA (ENSCAFG00000052032.1)". Lineage: Eukaryota; Metazoa; Chordata; Mammalia; Carnivora; Canidae. The record is from RNAcentral.